UACGGAGGGGGCUAGCGUUGUUCGGAAUUACUGGGCGUAAAGCGCGUGUAGGCGGCAGGGCAUGUCGGAUGUGAAAUCCCGUGGCUCAACCACGGAAGUGCACCCGAAACUGCCCAGCUUGAGUCUCGGAGAGGAAGGCGGAAUGCUUGGUGUAGAGGUGAAAUUCGUAGAUAUCAAGCGGAACACCGGUGGCGAAGGCGGCCUUCUGGACGAUGACUGACGCUGAGACGCGAAAGCGUGGGGAGCAAACAGG
RNAcentral lists this ribosomal RNA (253 nucleotides) under uncultured bacterium. RNAcentral describes it as "partial 16S ribosomal RNA". It matches the Rfam family "Bacterial small subunit ribosomal RNA", at positions 524 to 776 of the family's 1533-position model. The record is from RNAcentral.